This 511-nucleotide ribosomal RNA is filed under the name uncultured bacterium. RNAcentral describes it as "bacterial SSU rRNA". It matches the Rfam family "Bacterial small subunit ribosomal RNA", at positions 15 to 518 of the family's 1533-position model. The record is from RNAcentral.
GAUCAUGGCUCAGGAUGAACGCUAGCUACAGGCUUAACACAUGCAAGUCGAGGGGCAUCAUGAUCAAAGUUGCUUGAUUGAUGGCGACCGGCGCACGGGUGAGUAACGCGUAUCCAACCUUCCCCCCAGUAGGGCAUAGCCCGGCGAAAGUCGGAUUAAUACCCUAUGUUUUCCAAUGAGGACAUCUGAGCUGGAACAAAGAUUUAUCGCUGGGGGAUGGGGAUGCGUCCGAUUAGGUUGUUGGCGGGGUAACGGCCCACCAAGCCCGCGAUCGGUAGGGUUCUGAGAGGAAGGUCCCCCACACUGGUACUGAGACACGGACCAGACUCCUACGGGAGGCAGCAGUGAGGAAUAUUGGUCAAUGGGCGUAAGCCUGAACCAGCCAAGUAGCGUGCAGGACGACGGCCCUAUGGGUUGUAAACUGCUUUUAUGCGGGGAUAAAGUGAGGUAUGUAUACCUUUUUGUAGGUACCGCAUGAAUAAGGACCGGCUAAUUCCGUGCCAGCCGCUGC